This is an RNA transcript of Salvelinus fontinalis (brook trout), 8055 nucleotides long. It is a transcript of the gene named transcription intermediary factor 1-alpha-like, with no coding region annotated. The record is from RefSeq and is a predicted model, not a curated record. The transcript is spliced from 18 exons. Lineage: Eukaryota; Metazoa; Chordata; Actinopteri; Salmoniformes; Salmonidae.
UUAACAAGCUAUUUUGGCCUGAACUGGUCGCUGUACCAUAAAAAUAUCGGAGUGCAUGCUGGGCACUCCGUGUGUUUUUUUUGGGGGAAAGAAUGUUGCUUGUACAGAUGGUAGCUAGCAAUUUCCAUUGAUAGAAGUUUGUAUUGCACGUUUAUUGUACAAAAUUACUAUUCUGUGUCAUCUACUAUUGUUCAGUUUCAUUGACACUAGGCAACUAUUUAAUAACUAAAUUACGUCAUCCUUCGUAGUAGCAACUGUGUCAUCUAGCUAACGUUAGCUAUCUAGCUUCCCAACCGCAGAGUUAAACACUUUAAAUUUAUGAUUUUAUACUAAUGUUGGCUAAACCUGCCAUUACUGUGGGUAAUUUCAGGAGGUAGUAUUAUGUAGGAACCAUGAACUUUGCUCGUGCAAGGCAUAUGUCCAACUGAUUUCGACUUUAACAGACUGCAGAGACUAGCUAACAUUAGCUAGUAUCCGCUAGCUAGCUAACAGUUACUGGUUUUCAAGCACUCAAGUCCAUCUUGAAUAGGCACAAAGCAACAAUCGAGACAAUGGAUGAGAGCCCAGAAGCUGCUGUAGACAACGAUGACCUUGUUAUUAUAGUGGAAAACGAGGCAGAGAGCUUGCCAGCUGAAGAGGAGAGGGCGAAACAGCUAGGAGGUAGCAUCGGUCUCAUGGACACAUGCCCUGUCUGUAAGUUGAAUUUCCACAAUCGAGAGCCGAAACUUCUGCCAUGCCUCCACUCUUUCUGCAAGAAGUGUCUUCCACCCCCUUCAAGGAACUUAGUCAACACUGAACAACGUCGCGACCCACAACUUCAAGUGGACAACUCGAAACCACUCAAUGUGAUCCGCUGCCCAGUUUGUCGACAAGAGUGCUGGGAGGUGGAGGUGCUGGAUAACUUCUUUGUGAAGGACUCUGUGGAGGUUCCCAGCAGCACAGUGGAGAAGACCAGUCAGGUGUGUAUGAGUUGUGAUGACAACACCGAGGCCACAGGGUUCUGUGUGGAGUGUGUGGAGUUCCUGUGUGUGACGUGCAUUGAGGCCCACCAGAGGGUCAAGUUCACCAGGGAUCAUACCAUACGGCAGAAGGAGGAGAUGUCACCAGAGGCUGUGGGUGCGUCCUCACAGAAGCCAGUGUUCUGUGACAUCCACAAGCAGGAGCCCCUCAAACUGUUCUGUGAGACCUGUGACCGUCUCACCUGCAGGGACUGUCAGCUGCUCAAGCACAAAGACCACAAUUACCAGUUCCUUGACGACGCCUACAGAAACCACAGGCAACACCUGGAAAACAUGACGCAUCAGCUACAGGAGAAGAGGAAAGCCAUAGAAGAAGUGUCCAAUUGCAUCAACAAUGGACUCCAGCAAGUCGAUGAAAACCGCAAGUCUGUCACCAAUGAGAUAAAGAAGUCAAUUUGCAACUUGAUCAUGGAGAUCAACAGAAAGGGAAAAAUCUUGGUCAAUCAACUUGAGACACUGACGAAGGACCAUGAGGUCGGACUAAAGAAACAACAAGAAGAUGUCAGCCACCUGACCAGACAUCUAGAUCACGUCAUCAACUUCACCAAGUGGGCCACAGCCAGUCACAGUGGCACAGCUCUCCUGUACUGCAAGAGACUGAUUCUUUGCCAAAUCCAUUACCUAAUGAGGGCCAACUGUAACGCAUCCAUCGUCCCUCAGAGCUCAGUUCGCUUCCAGUGUCGCUCCGGUUUCUGGGCCUCAAAUGUCGAUCUUGGUUCUUUGGCAGUAGAGAGAAUCCCUGGUCGUCAGCCCAGUUCCUUGCAGCAGGGCUUCCCUCCUGGCCACCCCAGCCAGCCUGGCCCCGGCCCCAGAGGAGAGGGCCCUCCCGGGGCUUUCCCUCCAGGCUCCUCCGCCCACCAGCGUGGGAGCACCCUUGCCCAGCUCCAGCUGCAGGUAGAGAAGCUUGCCCAGCACCCCAACAGGGCUGGACAGCCCCCUCCCAACCACUGGUCCUGGUACCAGCAGGGUCUGAAGCUCCCGGGGCCAGGGGGCCCCCCUCCACAGAGGCCCCACCAGGGGGGUUCUCCGUCGCAAGGUCCCCCCAACAUGGUCCAGAUCCAGCAGCCGGGCCGGAGUUACGGACCCCCCGGGCCCCAAACACAUCCCAACCCCAGGAGCCCCACUUCUAUGCUGCAAAAUGCAGGAUUCCCUCCGCAGUCUCUGAGGGAUCUCAUCCACAACUCCAGCUUUCCUCCCAAACCAAUGGAUGUGUUACAGGGUACCUCCCGCUACUCUCAUGCACCCCCUCCCAACACAGGACCCAUCAGCACUCAAGCUUCUAUACACCAGCGUAACAUGAUGGAAGCCGCACAACUGAGGAGGAGUGACCCCAGUGGAGCUUCAUCAUCAUUAUCCAUGCCCAACCCCAGAGCUAGUUAUGCGCCGAGCCUAGCUACUGCCUUCCCAGACAGACAUGCACAAGGAAGACAGAAUUCCCCCAUGUCCAAAUCUUCCUCUGAAGCCAACAUAGGGUCUGCUUCCUGGAAGCGCACAGAGCCUAAUGCGGCGGCUCCCCCCUCAGCUAAGCGGAGGCGAAGGUCGUCCCCCGGACCAAUCAUCGUCAUCAAGGACGAACCAGAGGACGAUGACGAAGUCAGCUUUGUGCAGUCUAGUGUUGGAGCCUCAGCCAGCCUGCCAGACAGCAGUACAGGCAUCCAGCCCAAGUCCCAGGCCCAGCCCCAGCAGCAAUCUCUCCCAGCACCCAUGUUGGAGCCCCAGCUAGAGACCCAGCUAGAGACCCAGCUAGAGACCCAGCCAGAGACCCAGCCAGAGACCCAGCCAGAGACCCAGCCAGAGACCCAGCCAGAGACCCAGCCAGAGACCCAGCCAGAGACCCAGGUAGAGCUAGAGGCAGACCCCCAACCAGACCCAGAAAAGGCCACAGGUGUCACUGAAGACGACCCCAAUGAAGACUGGUGCGCUGUGUGUCAGAACGGGGGAGAACUGCUCUGCUGUGACCGGUGUCCCAAAGUCUUCCAUCUGAACUGUCAUAUACCUACACUUAGAGAGUCUCCCAGUGGUGAGUGGUUCUGUUCGUUCUGUCGUGACCUGACCAGUCCUGAGAUGGAGUAUAACCCAGAUAGCCAGGGAGAAUUGCCAGCCAUGAAGGAGGAGCCAGGAUCAGAGGGAUUCCCGCCAGUUGAUAAAAGGAAAUGUGAGAGACUGUUGCUCUGCAUCUACUGCAACGAGUUUAGUACAGAUUUCCAGGAGCCUGCCUCACUGUCGUCAAUCCCAGAGUAUAAGGAGCUGAUUGAGACUCCAAUGGACCUGUCCAUAGUGAAGGGCAGGCUGGAAUCUAAGGAGAGCCCGCGUUACUGCAGUGCUGAGGAGUUUGUCAAGGAUGUCAGGCUCAUAUUCAGGAACUGUGCAAAGUAUUACCAGGCAGACACUGAGGUGGGAGGUGCAGGACUGAGCCUGGAGGAGUACUUUGAGGAGCAGCUGAAGUUCCUCUACCAAGACAGGAGCUUCCCUGGGGGCAGAGAGGAGGGCAUGAUACCCCCUGUGGAGGACGAGAUGGAAGAAGGGAUGGAAGACGAUGGGAUGGCUCCUAACGAAGGGGAUAUGCCCCCUGUCGAGGACGACCUAACGCCUGUUGAAGAAGGGAUGCCUUCUAUGGAGAAAGAAGGAACUGAAGAGGGGAUGGAUCCUGUGGAAGGAGAGAUGGAGGAAGAAGGGAUACCUCCUUUAGAAGAGAGCAUGGAAGAGGAAGAGACUUCUCCAGUGAAAGAGGACUUACCACCUUGUGAUGCUACUGAAUCAGUAGAUCCAUCAAUAAGGGGUGCAUCAUCUCCCAACCUUUCCAGCAAGGAGGCUCCCCAACCCCUCUCAGAUACUCCAGACAACCCUCCCUGCAAGGAGGCUUCCCAACCCCUCUCGGAUACCCCAGACAAACCUCCUGACUCCCAGGGCACCAGCCCUGCUGACUCCCAGGACACCAGCCCUGCUGCAGGCUUAGCCACAGAAAAUGAGGGGACGACUGAAGAAGUGAGAGACAAAGCAGAAGAGGAAUGAUUAUUGUUCUUCCACUGUAAAUUGGAUGGACAAUAAAGCUUCUUGAAUUAUCUAUAGGAUCUGUUGUCAGAAAAUACUGGCAGACUUCUUUGCUGUAUCAUACACUUUCUGAUAUGAUUUGCAAUAAUAAUAAAUAAAACAGAGAAACCCAGGAUGUAUAACAGGGUACAGAGAUGGACAAUGAAUGCACAAAUGUUUCUUGUUACAAAGCAAUGUAGCUACAUGUAUGAACUAAUAAUGCACAGACUGUUCUGUCUGCUGAGAUUGAGAAGUUACAAUCAUGGUGUAACUGAUAAACUUUCUACAAUAACAAUCAUAACACACAAAUAAUGUCCAUUAUUGAUAAGUUGUUUGCAAUUUUCCAUGUUGGCUUUUGUAAAGAAGAAUGCCAUAUAAUACUGUAUAUUUAUAAUAAUGUACGUUUAUUUAUCCAUCUCUAAAGGAAAAAUAGCUGCAAAGACCGAAAACCAUAGCCCUACAUCAUAUCUUAAAACUCUGGUCAAUUAUUUUUAACAGACAUUUUUAUGUGUACUUGUGUUUGUGUUAAUUAGUUAAAUUAUAGGCUACUCUUGUACAGAACAUUGUAAAGGAGGUAUUCUGAAAGGUAGACUCAGCGAUAUAACAGAUGCAAAAAGUACACUGCAUAAAGGGUCAAUUUCAGCGACAACAAAGAGCGUGAGGCUCAACUUCUCUGCUGUUUUGGUGCCCUGGCUACCGUGAAGCCAACUGCGCACAUGAGCAGAUACUGUGUGAGGGCGAAGCGUUACAUCUACUCAUCUCAAUAUCUGAUGUGCUGCUGGUGGCAAUGUCAUUUCGCGAAGUCUACCUUUAAGACUGUUCACUAGAUUACAGGGAUGCAAAAUGUAAAUAUUUUUCUCAGAAUGAACGUGCAGUGUUCUCGAAUGGUGCUGCUUGCUUUUUGGCAUGUAAAGAGAAUCAAACUGUUCCCCUCACUUUUCCUUGUUGCAUGUUUUCUUGUUGCCUGGCUACCCAGACUUUGUCUGGCCGAACGCUACGCCACACCCACGGACGUUAAUUUCUUCUCCACUAUCAAUCUAGAUCUAAGUACCUCCCCAACCCUUCACCAAAUGCGAACACAUUUGGGGCCGUCUGAUUGGUCCAGAGACUGAUGGGUUGGGCCAGAGCCAGAACACACGUGGGUAAAGCGUCCAGUUAGAAAAUGUGUAAUUGACUUUGAUACUCUGAUUGGUUAGAGAUGAUCCAAUCGAUGAAGACUUUGUUUUGUACAACGCCCCUCAUCCCCACCACAAGACUUCAAUAGAUGCUGUAAAGAGGUCACUGGAAAGCAGACUGGGGGGAUAGAAGGAUGCCAGAUAUUAAUGAGUGUGUGGCCAGAUCCCACAGCUGCGCUGUGACAGAGAGCUACUUCAACGUACAGGGAGGGUUCAGAUGUCUGUCUUUCGAGUGUCCACCCAACUUCCGAGUACAUACAGGACCAGUUGUUUUUUAUCCCUCCCCUUAAGAAUCUCUUUCUACAACAUCACUUUCCCCACCAAUAUCUCCGUGCCGGCCGAUGUCUUACGCAUGGGGCCCUCCAACUCAGUCCCAGGGGACGACAUCCAGCUAGACAUCAUUGCCGGAGACCAAGGCGGCUUCUUCAGUGCCCAGAGACUGGCCCACAGAGGAGUGAUCUCACUGCAAAGCAUAGUGACGAAACCCCGGGACUUCUUGCUCACGGUGGAGAUGAGGCUCAUACGUUACGGGACUGUUCAUCUUUAUAUGGCUAAGAUUGCUUUGUUUAUCACCCACGAGCAGCCAAUCCCACCAAGACUACGAUUCUAAAGACCAUUCUUUAACCCCGCUGUCAUAAUGAACGUCAUAAUGAAGAAUCAUCUUAUUUUUUUUCCGUAGCAUUCCUGAACCUUCUGUGUUCUGGGGAGGUUACAUGGUGAUACUCAAGGGUUGUGGCAAUGGGUGUUGUGAUGUGUAAUGUUCACUAGGUGGGGAUCAUAGGCAGUAUAAGGAUCUAAUCUACCCAUCUACCUCGUGAUUUGCAUGGCAGCUUUGCUUUGAAUUUUGAGCUUUUGUUGCUUUUUAUUGUAUUUUUUUGUAAUUACAAUGAAUUUGUUAUACAGUGAUUUUUUUCCCUUUCUAAUUUCCCUUCUACCCCUUAACCACAUACUAAUACCAUACGUAUUGCUCUCACUAGCAAUGGCUGCUGCAGCAAUAUCCAUCUAUAUUAUUCUAUCCUCUGGCGAUUAUUAAUGGCAGUUGGUGAAUUCAUAUUUCCUGUUGCCAUAUCUACCUCUGCCAAACUGCCUUAACAUAGGAUCAAGGAUGUCCCUCUUUAGUGGAGCAAUGAAAAAUAAAGCAUGCCACUCAUUUAUGGAUACCUGGUCCCUGGCCAGUGGCGGGAGAUCAAUUAGUGGUCUCCUAGCGUUACAGCCGAGAAGACGGAUGAUGAUCUUAGUGUUAGUGUUGGGUGGUUAUCAAUAAGUACUACUGGUAAAUGAUACGAAAACACAAGGAGCUGUAAUCGACUUGAGCCAGACAACUUUUACUUUCCAGUGAUCAGGUUCUCUUUUAUAGUAUAGUCUGGAUUGUGGACUACUACUCCCCUUGGCUUUGUGGUUAGGCAUCUGUUGAAUACAGAAGCUGUUUUGAAAUGUAUGGAUGGAUAUUUCCUAUUGACAGUCUAUGGAAUAUUUAAGAAAUUUGAGAUUCCAAUUCCGGUCUCUGUUUCUUUUGAUGUAUUAACUACCAGCUGUGGCUCACUUCUAUCUUCCCAUCCAGUCACCUUAGUUGACAUUUUCUGUCUGACUUGCUGUGGGGUGGCUAUAGUUACUACAGUUACCCUCUGUGUCAAUGCCCUCACAUCAGAAACCACACAAUAAUUUUGUGGCUUUGGCCCACAGACAUGAAGGCAAACUUGGACCCACAUGCUACCACUGCUAAAGACUAAUUUCAAGCCCCCUUCCCCUUUGGAAGCUUGACUUUCAUGAAGAGCUUAUUUUUUUCACCUCAGGAGACCCUUUGUUUGGCUUCUCCUCUUAAGCAUUGAUACAUUAAUAAACCAUUGAAAAAUACUAUUGAGCCUCCCGGGUGGAGCAGUGGUCUAGGGCACUGCAUCGCAGUGCUAACUGCGCCACCAGAGUCUCUGGGUUCGCGCCCAGGCUCUGUCGCAGCCGGCCGCGACCGGGAGGUCCGUGGGGCGACGCACAAUUGGCAUAGCGUCGUCUGGGGUAGGGAGGGUUUGGCCGGUAGGGAUAUCCUUGUCUCAUCGCGCUCCAGCAACUCCUGUGGCGGGCCGGGCGCAGUGCGCGCCAGCCAAGGGGGCCAGGUACACGGUGUUUCCUCCGACACAUUGGUGCGGCUGGCUUCCGGGUUGGAGGCGCGCUGUGUUAAGAAGCAGUACGGCUGGUGUGGUUGUGCUUCGGAGGACGCAUGGCUUUCGACCUUCGUCUCUCCCGAGCCCGUACGGGAGUUGUAGCGAUGAGACAAGGUAGUAAUUACUAGCGAUUGGAUACCACGACAAUUGGGGAGAAAAUGGGAUAAAAAAAUAAAUAAAAAAAAAUACCAUUGAAAAUAUAUAUGGAACAGUUACCCUCUGUGUCAAUGCCCUCACAUCAGAAACCACACAAUCAUUUUGUGGCUUUAGCCCACAGACCUGAAGGCAAACUUGGACCCACAUGCUACCACUGCUAAAGACUAAUUUCAAGCCCCCUUCCCCUUUGGAAGCUUGACUUUCAUGAAUAGCUUAUUUUUUUCACCUCAGGAGACCUUUUAUUUGGCUUCUCCUCUUAAGGAUUGAUACAUUAAUAAACCAUUGAAAAUAUAUAUGGAUCUAUUCAGGUGUUGCCAGAGUUUUGUGUGAAAUGCUCUGGAUUGUGGAAGUGUUUAUCCAUUCAUCACCAAUGCAUUGAUGCAUUGAAUGAGGGAGCCUUGUGAAUUUGGUUAUUUUUUUGUAAGUGUUGUUGGCAUUUCAACACUGAUUUGUAUUGUUACUGUAUUUCAGUUUACAUAAUGUACAGUGGCAAUAAAAAGUAUGUGAACCCUUUGGAAA